This is a long non-coding RNA of Polyodon spathula (Mississippi paddlefish), 514 nucleotides long. RefSeq lists it as uncharacterized. Lineage: Eukaryota; Metazoa; Chordata; Actinopteri; Acipenseriformes; Polyodontidae. The transcript is spliced from 2 exons. The record is from RefSeq and is a predicted model, not a curated record.
AUCAUUCAUAUACUGUAGCUACCCUAACUGAUCUGCACGAUUACUUUACACUACAGUGCGGAGUAGGUAGUGCACAGCUUCUUCUAACAGGUGAGCUGGAUGCAGUGAAAUUCAUUCUUCAGACCGUGUGUUCUGUAAUUACUCUAAAUGUCCUUAUGGAAGUCAAAAUGUAGAUCAAAGUUUACUUCCAUCUUUAAAAUAUUAAAUAUUUUGUCUUACUUAUUUUAAUAAAUAGAGUUGGAUUUAAAUGAUACACAGUUAUGUCAAAAUGAAAACCCUUUAAUCUAAAGUAUCUGUCAAUAUAUCUUCCAUUCCCAGUCACUACUAUUUUUUUCUAAAUCCCUCUAGGAUUAUGUGAUUAAAACUUUGAUGAAAGAAAUGAGCAUAUCAAUGAAACUGGCACUGACUCAGUUUCCCACAGAUGUCACUUUCCCAGAUGUUGAAGAUGAACUCAAGAAAAUGAAGGGCAUUUGUAAAGCUUUGGAGUUAGAUGUAUUUCAAGAUUAAAAACAUU